Molecule: long non-coding RNA, 2252 nt
Organism: Oncorhynchus tshawytscha (Chinook salmon)
Lineage: Eukaryota; Metazoa; Chordata; Actinopteri; Salmoniformes; Salmonidae
Source: Ensembl
UUCCUUCCUACCUACCUACCUACCCAUCCACCUACCUUCCUUCCUUCCUACCUUCCUACCUACCUACCUACCUACCUACCUACCUACCUACCUACCUACCUACCUACCUACCUACCUACCUUCCUUCCUUCCUUCCUACCUACCUUCCUUCCUACCUACCUACCCAUCCACCUUCCUUCCUUCCUUCCUACCUACCUACCUACCUGAGAAAAGAAUCCAGAAGCAUCAGGAAGUGUGUAGCAGACAGAGAGGAGAGCUCUGCUCCACUUGACUGUUUCUCUCUCUACACUUAGAAAAGCGAAGAAGAAUUGAAUGGGCCGUGUUCUGUAGUUAGUGGACCUGCCAGGGGGGCAACGACCCCAGUCUCCAUCUGGAGCCUCCAAGAGGACGAGGAAGAGGAGAGGCUGCCGUUCACACCACUGGGCCUGAUGUCUGAGAUGCCCAGGCUGUGUCCCAAAUAGCAUCCCUAUUCCCCAUGUAGUGCCCUGGUUAUAAUUAGUGCCCUAUAGAGGGCAGGGAUCAUCAACUAGAUUCAGCCGCAGGCCGAUUUUCUUCUUGAGCGGAUGGUCAGGGGAGGGCCGCAACAUAAUAACAAAUGAUUUGUAGAUUGCAAAUUGACCGCAAGAACCCCCCGAUUGAUUAUAACACGAUCAUAUUAUAAACCUUGCUUACAUUAGUAUAGAUCAGAUAUAUAUCUCUAUUAUGGGGUGGGUGUACUUUGGAACAGAUUAACCAAAUUAAAACCACUUGGAGCUGAUUUUGCUGGUGUUUUUUUAUACUGUCUAUAAUGUUCAACAAGUAAAACAUAAUUGGAGAACCCUGACGAUACAGGGAAUAAGAUGACAUUUGGAACACAGCCGGGUUAUUGUUUUGGGUCCCAGACAGUCGAUACCCAGAAUGCCGCUGUCCCACCACCCUCUGCUGACAAGCCGGGCUAAUCGACUGACGUUCCUUCCCUGAUGGAAUGCUCCCCACUCGGAUCCGAGAAUUAGGCUAUCUAGAGUCUGACCCUUCACCCUGUUUUAACAUGGCAUACAUUCUGAGGAUUCUAGUCUCUUUUUCAGUCUAUUUAUUUCUACCGAGCCUCCAUGGUAGCUGGUUUCUACCAGGAGCAUCUGAGCGUCUUGUAAAUGGUUGAGUAGUUAUAUACAGAAACACAUCCGUGGAGACAGAGAGCCAUAUCUGCCUUGCAUCUGUCCUUCUAUUUGUUGAUCGUGCUAAAUAACCCCCAGUGUUAUUUUGAAGUGUGCUGUUUUUCCCCCUCCUUGCUUAAGGAUCUCACAUUUCUGAGGUCUGAAUGUCUUUUUACAUGUUUUGUAUGUGUCCCUAAUUUAAACUUCAGCCUGCAUCUAUUGGGAUGGUGACAUGUGUUGAUACCAGUUAGUUCUCUCUCUCUCUCUCUGUGUGUGUGUGUGUCAGAGCAGGAAUCUAAAUUAUUGUUUUUGACUGGAAUGUGAGACGAGUGUUGUAUUCAAACUCUACAGUCCUUCACCAUCUUCAAAUUAUACUUAUUUUCUUCCUUCUCUCACAGUGCAUUUGCUGGUCAUAUGCUCUGUAUCAGAACCAUUUGCUGGUCAUAUGCUCUGUUUCAGAACCAUUUGCUGGUCAUAUGCUCUGUUUCAGAACCAUUUGCUGGUCAUAUGCUCUGUGUCAGAACCAUUUGCUGGUCAUAUGCUCUGUAUCAGAACCAUUUGCUGGUCAUAUGCUCUGUGUCAGAACCAUUUGCUGGUCAUAUGCUCUGUUUCAGAACCAUUUGCUGGUCAUAUGCUCUGUUUCAGAACCAUUUGCUGGUCAUAUGCUCUGUAUCAGAACCAUUUGCUGGUCAUAUGCUCUGUAUCAGAACCAUUUGCUGGUCAUAUGCUCUGUGUCAGAACCAUUUGCUGGUCAUAUGCUCUGUGUCAGAACCAUUUGCUUGUUGAUACCCUUUUCACUAUAAAUUGGACUCUGUUUACAUUAAGUUGUCGUUUUGAACUGAGAAAAGAAGUUAAUAUAUUUUGUAUAUUAUUUCAUUUUUAGUAUUUUAUUGAUGUGAAAAAAAUGAUGCCAAAGAUUUGUUCUAACAUGAGCCUAUAUAAACCAACCCGUAUGGUUUAGUGUAAACACCUCUCUGGUUGAACCCUUUAUGUUGCUGUGGAGAACUUUUCUAUGCCAUUAACAUUUCAAUAAUGGAAUAAAAACAGUAAUAUAUAUCUUUAAAACUUUGUUGUUGUUUCUCUCGUCGAUGGUAGAAUGCCGAAAAGGGAACUUCUGCA